CUACCUUACGGGAGGCAGCAGUAGGGAAUCUUUCACAAUGGGCGAAAGCCUGAUGGAGCAACGCCGCGUGCAGGAUGAAGGCCUUCGGGUUGUAAACUGCUUUUAUAAGCGAGAAAUAUGAUGGUAACUUAUGAAUAAGGAUCGGCUAACUACGUGCCAGCAGCCGCGGUAAUACGUAGGUGGCAAGCGUUGUCCGGAUUUAUUGGGCGUAAAGCGAGUGCAGGCGGUUCCAUAAGACUGAUGUGA
This 246-nucleotide ribosomal RNA is filed under the name uncultured bacterium. RNAcentral describes it as "partial 16S ribosomal RNA". It matches the Rfam family "Bacterial small subunit ribosomal RNA", at positions 333 to 597 of the family's 1533-position model. The record is from RNAcentral.